UUCCAAAAAUAAUUGAGCUUAAACAGGGUUGGAAUCAUUGUGAGCUUACCCUAACACUCGGAACCUCUGUGGCUCUGUCUCCCUCGGUUCUCAGACUCAAAAUUCUCUCCUCUCUCACUGCCUAGCCCACUAGAGUCUCUUUCAAUCUCACUCGAGUCUCGUCUCAGUCACACUCGCCGGCGUCUCGUUGUUCAUCUUGCCGACGUCUCGCGGCCUUCCUCGUCAUCUCACUCGAGUCUCGUCCCUGGGCUCAUCGUCGCCGGCGGCAGAGGCAACUCGUGGGAUCGUGGCUUGCUUCGUCGCGUUCCGUGAGGUCGUCGUCUUCUGGUUUCUGUUCGUCGUCAUCGCCGUGGACCGUGGACCGUUGCUUUCAGGCUCAGGGAAGAAGCAGAGGAAGUAGUAUGCACAGUUGAGGAAUGGGGUUGAAGAAAAUGCUCAGACCAAUAGCAACACCACUACACCUACCGUCGCCGCACCCACUCUCUCCUCUUCCAAACCCUCCUCUCCCAUCUCCGCCGCCAGAUCCCUCCCUCCCUCCGCCACCACCAACACUCACAGUGACCCCAAUCCCCAACUCCCAAUACCACCGCCUCCUCAACUUUCUCAAGACCCAUCUUUCCCCACCUUUCACCCCAGAAUCCCUCCUCCAUUUCCUCAAAUCCAAGCUCCACCACCACCCUUCCUUUUCCCACUACGACUUCCACGUCUUCACCUGGGCCUCCUUUGUCGACUCUUUCCGCCACAACCACUCCACUUUCCAUUGGAUGGCCCAAACCCUAGCUCUCUCCCACCGCUUCCACCACCUCCACAUCCUCCUUGAUUUCAUUGCCUCCAACCCUUGCCCCUGCUCCGACUCCAUCUUCUCCUGCCCCCACACCGAAUCCAUCUUCCGCUUCGCCAUCCACGCUUACUGCAAAGCUGGCAAAUUGGACGAAGCUGUCUCCUCGUUCCGUUCCAUGUGCAGGUUGAUCGACGGUAGGCCUAAUGUUGCAGUUUGUAAUAUCAUAAUUCAUGGAUUUGUGAAAUGGGGCAUGCUUGAUAGGGCUCUGGAGUUUUAUGAUGAGAUUGUUAGGGUUAGGAUUAGGCCUGAUUUGUUCACUUUUAACAUCUUGAUCAGUGGUUAUUGUAGGAAUUUGAAGUUUGGGUUGGCAUUGGAGAUGUUCAAGGAGAUGAGAAAGAUGGGGUGUGAGCCAAAUGUGGUUACUUUCAACACUUUGAUUAAGGGGAUGUUUAGGGAGGGGAAGGUUGAAGAAGGGAUUGGGAUGGCUCAUGAGAUGAUUUAUUUGGGGUGCGAGUUCUCCAAUGUCACUUGUGAGAUUCUGGUUCGAGGACUUUGCGAGAAAGGAAAGGUUUUGCAGGCUUGUGAGAUGUUAGUUGAUUUCUCCAGAAAGGGCGUUUUGCCUAAAGGGUAUGAUUAUUUUGAUUUGGUGGAUGCUCUGUGUGGGAAUGGAGAUGCUGAUAGAGCAUUGAGGCUAAUUUAUGAGUUGUGGGAGAAAGGAUGUGUGCCUAGCUUGAUUGCUUGCAUUGUGAUGAUUGAUGGGUUGAGAAGAUCGAGGAAGACUAAAGAAGCUUGGAGAUUAGUGGAAAAGAUGCUUAAAGAGGGUAUGAUACUGGAUGUUAUGACUUUUAAUUUUGUGCUUCAGGAUAUUUGCAAAGUGGGAAGAACAGAGGAAGCAAAUAAAUUAAGAUUACUUGCUUCGAGCAAGGGUUUGGAACCAGACGACAUGACAUAUAAAAUUUUGGUUAAUGGAUACACAGGAGAGGGCCGGAAAAUAGAGGGAGAGUCAGUGGUGAAUGAGAUGUUGGAUAGGGGAUUCAUACCUGAUCUUGCUUCAUAUAAUGAAUUGAUGAAUGCACUAUCCACUUGUCAACGACACUCCACCCCCGGGUUAGCCUAACAAACUUGACCACACAUAAUACAAGUGUUCAAGGUUUAACUUGGUGUUCAAUUAUAAUUGAAGCCUAGGAUAAAUGAUAUAUGAAUGAUUGAGAUCUUAAUAUGAAGAAAAAAACUUAAGGUGAUUAAUGAGAGUUGUCAUCCAUCAUGUGAAGUCAGCUGGAGCACGAAUGAAGUUAAUCCGCAAGUCUUCUCUGAAGAUGGUCCGUACUCAACUUGAAUCCUCUUAGCCUAUUUGAUUCUAUUACAAGAUUAUAGAUUUAAAUGGAAUUGUCCCUGAUACACAAAACCUAAAUCCUUUGAGGACAUUAUUUUAACUGUAGGAGGAUGUCCUAUUGGAUCUAAUAGCAAAAUAGAAGUGGUGAUGUGGGUGCCAAUGUGCCAUCACAUAACCCCGGCUAAGGACCUGGAGAGAUAUUUUUGGGGAAUUCAUGACGGCCUCAACCUUGCUUGGACUAUGGGAAUGAGGGAAAUCAUUAUAUAUAGCGAUGCCGCUGCUGUUAUAGCCCUUAUCAAUAAUCAGCGAGAAUUCCGUAACCAUCCCAAUCCUUUGGUACGUUUAAUUGCAAAUUGGAAGAAGAAGAAUUGGCAAAUUUGCUUCAGCCACAUACUCAGAAGGUAAUAAAGUGGCGGACAGAUUGGCGAGAAUCGGCACUGAAAUUGAUCCUGGUCUUGUCUUGUCUAAGUGAAAGGCUUUGUGCGUGAAGAUGGAAGAGGGGUAAUACUUCCACGUAUCUCCAGGCCCUAAGUGUGCUUUCUUUGUUUUCUUUUGUUUUUUUUUUCUUUCUUUGGGCCUAUGGCCCCUCAUAUCAUAAAAAAAGAAAAAGACAAUCCAAGCUAGGCAGCAGACUCUAGUGGUUGCUGAGUACUUUGGAUAAUUGCAAUACCAUUACUUAAGUAUUGCCGUGUUUCUCUA
This is a non-coding RNA of Arachis ipaensis, 2813 nucleotides long. The record is from RefSeq and is a predicted model, not a curated record. Lineage: Eukaryota; Viridiplantae; Streptophyta; Magnoliopsida; Fabales; Fabaceae.